This 804-nucleotide long non-coding RNA is filed under the name Citrus sinensis (sweet orange). RNAcentral describes it as "long non-coding RNA (CSIN_LNC002813)". The record is from RNAcentral. Lineage: Eukaryota; Viridiplantae; Streptophyta; Magnoliopsida; Sapindales; Rutaceae.
ACGACGUACUAAAGCAGCAUCAGCCGAGGUCGCCGCGCUGGGGUAUUUUCUCAAUGAUCGGUUCCAAGAAUCGGAGGCGUCCGAAUUCGGCCGAUUUUAGGUACGACCCGUUGAGUUACUCGCUGAAUUUCGAAGACGAGAUGAGGAGAGACGACGCCGAUGAGUUGCGUGUCAACUUCUCGUCGCGGCUGCCGGCAUCGCCGUCGCAAGUGGCGCCAAUUGUCUCUGGGGAGAUUUUGGCUUGCUUGUAGUUGAAGAAGAGAUUGUAAGUACAUAUAUAUCUGGAAUUUGGAGUUGUGCAGAUAUAAAUAUAAUAAAUUAUUAUAUUAAUUAAUGACGACUCUUCAAACUUCAAUGAUUGGAUAUUAAUUGAUGGGAGUCCCUAUGUUACAAUUAAUGUAACAUACACACUCAACAACAAACACAUAAAUGAUGGACCCAUACAAUUUGUGUGGUUGUUAUUGAGUGUGUAUGUUACAUUAAUUGUAACAUAGCAUUUGCCUUAAUUGAUUAUUAUGGCGUUAUGUGAGUUGUGUGCGAUGAUUAAUCAGUCUUUUCACCGGUAAAAUUUUUGUAUAAGAACAAAAAUAAUCUUGCGAGUUGUAGCAUAAGUCUAAUAGAAAAGACCCAGGUAUUUUUCUUGUAAUGUGCCUUUUACUAUGUGAUGUGAGCCGAUCUGAAAUUAAAGAGUAAAGAAUAAACAGUAAAUACCUUCUUGGUUUCUUGCAGAAGUUAUGAAAGUCAGGAUUUGUUUUUCUGGGAAUUUUGUGAGAGUUUGGUAUUGAGGUGUUGGAUCGAUCAAGC